Molecule: ribosomal RNA, 490 nt
Filed under: uncultured bacterium
Lineage: Bacteria
Description: partial 16S ribosomal RNA
Rfam family: Bacterial small subunit ribosomal RNA
Source: RNAcentral
AGUGAACGCUGGCGGUAGGCCUAACACAUGCAAGUCGAACGGCAGCACAGGAGAGCUUGCUCUCUAGGUGGCGAGUGGCGGACGGGUGAGGAAUACAUCGGAAUCUGCCCAGUCGUGGGGGAUAACGUAGGGAAACUUACGCUAAUACCGCAUACGACCUUCGGGUGAAAGAGGGGGAUCGCAAGACCUCUCGCGAUUGGAUGAGCCGAUGUCGGAUUAGCUAGUUAGCGGGGUAAUGGCCCACCAAGGCGACGAUCCGUAGCUGGUCUGAGAGGAUGAUCAGCCACACUGGAACUGAGACACGGUCCAGACUCCUACGGGAGGCAGCAGUGGGGAAUAUUGGACAAUGGGCGCAGGCCUGAUCCAGCCAUACCGCGUGGGUGAAGAAGGCCUUCGGGUUGUAAAGCCCUUUUGUUGGGAAAGAAAUCUUUCAGGCUAAUACCCUGGGAGGAUGACGGUACCCAAAGAAUAAGCACCGGCUAACUUCGUG